GGGGCUACGGCUAGGGUUUCUCACUCUUUCGCCGUUGCCGUCACCAGCCGCCAUAGGGAGCAGUGAGGGAGGGAGCGCAAUGGCGGAGAGGAAGCAGCGCCCUUGAGGUGCUAGAAAGGACGAGGUGGUUACCCGCGAGUACACCAUCAACCUCCACAAGCGCCUCCACGGAUGGCUUAGUUUGGAUCGGCGGGGAUUGGCGGUCGAUCCUGCCCUCCGAUGGAAGCCAACACACGCGGGGGUUGGAAACACGUGGAUGUGCAAAACUGCAUUUGGGUGACGCCGUGGCUGGAGGAAAACCCGCUUGAUCCAAGUUGAUCCAAGCGAGAAAAAAUUAUCGUCACCUGAGGCCGGGAACUCCCACCACUCCCUUCUCGUGACUCACGAGUCGCGAGUUCGCUCCCGCAGCCAGGGUUUGAGUACACCGUGGCGGCGGCAUCAAUUCCUGCCAGCGACAGUUGAAGGUCGUGAGGUGCAUCUUCUCCAAGAUGUGCUAUCUACUCCAAGAUCCCAGGUGUGGUGGCUGAGAUGGGUGGACAUGAUCUGCCUAUCGACAAUGCACGGAUCCAGCCUUGAUCGCUGAGAUGGGUGGACAUGAUGGCUGGGAUGUCACUGAGUACAGUGACCAACCUUGCACAAGCAAUUAGUUCUACAGCGAUCUCACUAAGUGACGUGCUCAUUGGAUCAAGGUGCGCAAGCUGAAGGAACUGAGCAGUGUUCGCUGGGAUGAACAAAGCUACAUGAUCACUCUUGAGGAGUCCCAGUACAAAGGAUAUGUGCAGAUUUACUUGUAGUCACACCCAAAAGAUGCUGAAUUUCUCAACAAGCCUAUCGUCAACUACAUGCCAAUGCAAAUUAUCUUGGCAGCAGCGUUGCAACUGGGAAACCAUCUGAAGCUCCUACUACCAUUGAUGUUGACACCUCUGAAGCCCCUGAAUGAAGAAGGCUCUUCAGGUGUAAGGAGCUAAGGAAUGAAAGAUGCUUCUGGAACAUAAAGGGGCACAACAAAGAUCGAUGUUCUUAUGGCCAAAGUUGCAAUGCAGACAUACAUAUUAAAUCCUUAGCAAUAUACAUUCCAUACAAUUCAGUCAUGUUCAGUCUUUGUUUGCUUGGCAGCGAAUGCUCCAUCUCGCUCGCAGGAGGCAAGGGGCUGGGAGGUGACCCGCUCGCGCAUGUGUCUCGCUCCACUGGGCCAGGCCAUGAAAAAAGAGAACCCCCCCCCCCCCCCCCCCAGACUAUUAUGAUACUGCCACAACAAUAUUCUGUGAUGCCUACUUUUUCAUGAUAGAUCAAGUAUGUAGCUAGUGGGUAACCAGCAACAUGCAUAGCAUAAACAUCCUUUUCUUUUAAAAACAAUAUCAUUUCUACUAAGCCAUAGUGACCAACAAGUUGGAGAUGCUCCUAGCAAAAUCAAUGGUCUCAAAACCUUGCUUAAACCCCUUAGCUAGCCUUAGUCUUUUCACCACUUCUAAACAGCCCGCACACAAACCAGUUUGUCAAAGAAUAGGUGUCUAAUUACCUCUUUUGUGUCAAAAGCAAGUUUUGCUACCUUGCCAGUUACACUUAGCUAGACUAGUUUAGUACUCGUACUAACGUUUUCAGGGUACACAUGCAAACAACCAAGCAACGACAAUUUCUACAAUUUAAGUCUCAUGCAAUUAUAUAUGACCAUAUAUAUAAAAAAAAACUCAUACAUAAUAAAGUUACGUCUCCCAUAGUACAAUUAACUUAUUAAAUUUGAAGCAUGGGCAACAUUAACAUAAAAAGUUGAAAUGACCUAGAAAUCUAUAGCCUGACAAUUGUACAAUCUGUGAUUAGAGCUAGUUAACCUAGCAAAAGUUGAGGCAAGUUUCUCUGCAGCUAGCUAGUGUGCAACAUCAACUUAUGCUAGUGCAUUGAUGGUUCCAUACAAUUUUUAAAUGCCUGCACUCAUAAACCUAGAGUGACAAUA
This is a long non-coding RNA of Sorghum bicolor (sorghum), 1951 nucleotides long. RefSeq lists it as uncharacterized. The transcript is spliced from 6 exons. The record is from RefSeq and is a predicted model, not a curated record. NCBI's taxonomy places the organism in Eukaryota, Viridiplantae, Streptophyta, Magnoliopsida, Poales, Poaceae.